Molecule: ribosomal RNA, 743 nt
Filed under: uncultured bacterium
Lineage: Bacteria
Description: bacterial SSU rRNA
Rfam family: Bacterial small subunit ribosomal RNA
Source: RNAcentral
AGCGGCGGAUGGGUGAGUAACACGUGGGGAACCUGCCCCUAAGUCUGGGAUACCAUUUGGAAACGGGUGCUAAUACCGGAUAAUAAAGCAGAUCGCAUGAUCAGCUUUUGAAAGGCGGCGUAAGCUGUCGCUAAGGGAUGGCCCCGCGGUGCAUUAGCUAGUUGGUAAGGUAACGGCUUACCAAGGCGACGAUGCAUAGCCGAGUUGAGAGACUGAUCGGCCACAUUGGGACUGAGACACGGCCCAAACUCCUACGGGAGGCAGCAGUAGGGAAUCUUCCACAAUGGACGCAAGUCUGAUGGAGCAACGCCGCGUGAGUGAAGAAGGUUUUCGGAUCGUAAAGCUCUGUUGUUGGUGAAGAAGGAUAGAGGUAGUAACUGGCCUUUAUUUGACGGUAAUCAGCCAGAAAGUCACGGCUAACUACGUGCCAGCAGCCGCGGUAAUACGUAGGUGGCAAGCGUUGUCCGGAUUUAUUGGGCGUAAAGCGAGCGCAGGCGGAAAAAUAAGUCUAAUGUGAAAGCCCUCGGCUUAACCGAGGAACUGCAUCGGAAACUGUUUUUCUUGAGUGCAGAAGAGGAGAGUGGAACUCCAUGUGUAGCGGUGGAAUGCGUAGAUAUAUGGAAGAACACCAGUGGCGAAGGCGGCUCUCUGGUCUGCAACUGACGCUGAGGCUCGAAAGCAUGGGUAGCGAACAGGAUUAGAUACCCUGGUAGUCCAUGCCGUAAACGAUGAGUGCUAAGUGU